RNAcentral lists this ribosomal RNA (253 nucleotides) under uncultured bacterium. RNAcentral describes it as "partial 16S ribosomal RNA". It matches the Rfam family "Bacterial small subunit ribosomal RNA", at positions 524 to 776 of the family's 1533-position model. The record is from RNAcentral.
UACGUAGGUGACAAGCGUUGUCCGGAUUAACUGGGCGUAAAGAGCGCGCAGGCGGUCGAUCAAGUCGAGUGUGAAAGCCCCCGGCUCAACUGGGGAGGGUCAUUCGAUACUGAUCGACUCGAAGGCAGGAGAGGGUAGUGGAAUUCCCGGUGUAGUGGUGAAAUGCGUAGAUAUCGAGAGGAACACCUGCGGCGAAGGCGGGUUGCUGGGCUGACACUGACGCUGAUGCGCGAAAGCCAGGGGAGCGAACGGG